RNAcentral lists this ribosomal RNA (461 nucleotides) under uncultured Sphingobacteriales bacterium. RNAcentral's name for it is "bacterial SSU rRNA". It matches the Rfam family "Bacterial small subunit ribosomal RNA", at positions 920 to 1382 of the family's 1533-position model. Lineage: Bacteria; Pseudomonadati; Bacteroidota; Sphingobacteriia; Sphingobacteriales. The record is from RNAcentral.
CCCGCGACAAGCGGAGGAGCAUGUGGUUUAAUUCGAUGAUACGCGAGGACCUUACCUGGGCUCGAACGUAAGAUGACUGUAGGUGAAAGCUUACAUCUCUUCGGAGCAUUUUACGAGGUGCUGCAUGGUUGUCGUCAGCUCGUGCCGUGAGGUGUCGGGUUAAGUCCCAUAACGAGCGCAACCCUACCUUUAGUUGCCAUCAGGUAAUGCUGGGGACUCUAAAGGAACUGCCUACGCAAGUAGUGAGGAAGGCGGGGAUGACGUCAAAUCAGCACGGCCCUUACGUCCAGGGCUACACACGUGCUACAAUGGCCGAUACAGAGGGCAGCUACCUGGUGACAGGAUGCAAAUCUCCAAAGUCGGUCUCAGUUCGGAUCGGAGUCUGCAACCCGACUCCGUGAAGUUGGAUUCGCUAGUAAUCGCGCAUCAGCCAUGGCGCGGUGAAUACGUUCCCGGGCCUU